UGAACCUGCGGAGGGAUCAUUACCGAGUUUACAACUCCCAAACCCAAUGUGAACGUUACCAAACUGUUGCCUCGGCGGGAUCUCUGCCCCGGGUGCGUCGCAGCCCCGGACCAAGGCGCCCGCCGGAGGACCAACCAAAACUCUUAUUGUAUACCCCCUCGCGGGUUUUUUUUAUAAUCUGAGCCUUCUCGGCGCCUCUCGUAGGCGUUUCGAAAAUGAAUCAAAACUUUCAACAACGGAUCUCUUGGUUCUGGCAUCGAUGAAGAACGCAGCGAAAUGCGAUAAGUAAUGUGAAUUGCAGAAUUCAGUGAAUCAUCGAAUCUUUGAACGCACAUUGCGCCCGCCAGUAUUCUGGCGGGCAUGCCUGUCCGAGCGUCAUUUCAACCCUCGAACCCCUCCGGGGGGUCGGCGUUGGGGAUCGGCCCUGCCUUGGCGGUGGCCGUCUCCGAAAUACAGUGGCGGUCUCGCCGCAGCCUCUCCUGCGCAGUAGUUUGCACACUCGCAUCGGGAGCGCGGCGCGUCCACAGCCGUUAAACACCCAACUUCUGAAAUGUUGACCUCGGAUCAGGUAGGAAUACCCGCUGAACUUAAGCAUAUCAAUAAGCGGAAGAA
RNAcentral lists this ribosomal RNA (612 nucleotides) under Trichoderma aureoviride. Its description in RNAcentral is "eukaryotic LSU rRNA". The stretch from base 225 to 378 matches the Rfam family "5.8S ribosomal RNA". Lineage: Eukaryota; Fungi; Ascomycota; Sordariomycetes; Hypocreales; Hypocreaceae. The record is from RNAcentral.